This 800-nucleotide long non-coding RNA is filed under the name Homo sapiens (human). RNAcentral describes it as "HSALNT0101922". Lineage: Eukaryota; Metazoa; Chordata; Mammalia; Primates; Hominidae. The record is from RNAcentral.
AACAAAGGAUUUUUUAAAAGCAUUUCUGCUUCUUAAAUCAACUCCUGGUUUUCACGAAACCCCAGACCUCUAAGGCUUCUUUCCAGCUAAACACUAAAGACAGCACCUGAGUUUCCCUCCAAAACAGAUAAAAUCCUGAAUAAGGGCUUGAAAGGAAACAGCUAGAAGAAACGAGGUAACCUUCCUUCUGGUUUCUUCCCUUGGCGCGCACAGGCAUGAUGCUACAGCUCUGUACUGUCAACGCUGUCACCAGGCAUCACUUCCUUAUGGUUUACACUCCUCUCUUCCCAUCAUGUCAUUUCUUAGAGCUCUGUAAUCACACAGUCGUGUGCAUCCAUCCCCAGCUGUCAACAGGAUCUUCUGAGUAAAACACAGCUAAAUAAAUCUCUGCAAUGAGGAAGGACCGCAAUCAAAGCUACCUUCCAUUAGAGCUACCUGCCAAAUUUUGGAUGGCAGCACCCCAAGAUGAAAGGAGCUUGGAUCCCCAAGUCAUUAUUUGGAGGAGAGCCUCUGCAAAGAACUGCCUGCUGUGCACUGGACUGUGAGUUUUAUUUUCAUACUGAGGAAGUAAGAAGAAAUAUUCAAGUUUUUCAAGAUGGAGUGAGAGGAAAUAGCCACUUCAUAUGGUGCUCUAGGAUAAGAAUUCUGCAAUCAACAACAAAAUACAUGUCCUUAAGACGGUGUCAUGGCUUAACUGUGCCUGCAAUUUAUGCAUUUUACCACCAGAGGGAGAUAAGGAAUAAUAGUCAUCGGAAGCUCCUGAGCCUACAAGCUCCUAAGUGCGUCAAUUUUUUUGAUUG